GGUUAAGCGACUAAGCGUACACGGUGGAUGCCCUGGCAGUCAGAGGCGAUGAAGGACGUGCUAAUCUGCGAAAAGCGUCGGUAAGGUGAUAUGAACCGUUACAGCCGGCGAUGUCCGAAUGGGGAAACCCAGUGCAAUUCGUUGCACUAUCGUUAACUGAAUACAUAGGUUAACGAGGCGAACCGGGGGAACUGAAACAUCUAAGUACCCCGAGGAAAAGAAAUCAACCGAGAUUCCCCCAGUAGCGGCGAGCGAACGGGGAGCAGCCCGGAGUCUGAAUCAGCUUGUGUGUUAGUGGAAGCGUCUGGAAAGUCGCAGGGUACAGGGUGAUACUCCCGUACACUAAAACACACAGGCUGUGAACUCGAAGAGUAGGGCGGGACACGUGGUAUCCUGUCUGAAUAUGGGGGGACCAUCCUCCAAGGCUAAAUACUCCUGACUGACCGAUAGUGAACCAGUACCGUGAGGGAAAGGCGAAAAGAACCCCGGCGAGGGGAGUGAAAAAGAACCUGAAACCGUGUACGUACAAGCAGUAGGAGCCCACUAGUUGGGUGACUGCGUACCUUUUGUAUAAUGGGUCAGCGACUUAUAUUCUGUAGCAAGGUUAACCGUAUAGGGGAGCCGCAGGGAAACCGAGUCUUAACUGGGCGUUAAGUUGCAGGGUAUAGACCCGAAACCCGGUGAUCUAGCCAUGGGCAGGUUGAAGGUUGGGUAACACUAACUGGAGGACCGAACCGACUAAUGUUGAAAAAUUAGCGGAUGACUUGUGGCUGGGGGUGAAAGGCCAAUCAAACCGGGAGAUAGCUGGUUCUCCCCGAAAGCUAUUUAGGUAGCGCCUCGUGAACUCAUCUUCGGGGGUAGAGCACUGUUUCGGCUAGGGGGUCAUCCCGACUUACCAACCCGAUGCAAACUACGAAUACCGAAGAAUGUUAUCACGGGAGACACACGGCGGGUGCUAACGUCCGUCGUGAAGAGGGAAACAACCCAGACCGCCAGCUAAGGUCCCAAAGUCAUGGUUAAGUGGGAAACGAUGUGGGAAGGCCCAGACAGCCAGGAUGUUGGCUUAGAAGCAGCCAUCAUUUAAAGAAAGCGUAAUAGCUCACUGGUCGAGUCGGCCUGCGCGGAAGAUGUAACGGGGCUAAACCAUGCACCGAAGCUGCGGCAGCGACGCUUAUGCGUUGUUGGGUAGGGGAGCGUUCUGUAAGCCGUUGAAGGUGGCCUGUGAGGGUUGCUGGAGGUAUCAGAAGUGCGAAUGCUGACAUAAGUAACGAUAAUGCGGGUGAAAAACCCGCACGCCGGAAGACCAAGGGUUCCUGUCCAACGUUAAUCGGGGCAGGGUGAGUCGACCCCUAAGGCGAGGCCGAAAGGCGUAGUCGAUGGGAAACAGGUUAAUAUUCCUGUACUUGGUGUUACUGCGAAGGGGGGACGGAGAAGGCUAUGUUGGCCGGGCGACGGUUGUCCCGGUUUAAGCAUGUAGGCGGAUGUUCCAGGUAAAUCCGGAACGUCACUAACGCUGAGGUGUGAUGACGAGGCACUACGGUGCUGAAGUGACAAAUGCCCUGCUUCCAGGAAAAGCCUCUAAGCAUCAGGUAACAUCAAAUCGUACCCCAAACCGACACAGGUGGUCAGGUAGAGAAUACCAAGGCGCUUGAGAGAACUCGGGUGAAGGAACUAGGCAAAAUGGUGCCGUAACUUCGGGAGAAGGCACGCUGAUGGUAGGUGAAGUGACUUGCUCAUGGAGCUGAAAUCAGUCGAAGAUACCAGCUGGCUGCAACUGUUUAUUAAAAACACAGCACUGUGCAAACACGAAAGUGGACGUAUACGGUGUGACGCCUGCCCGGUGCCGGAAGGUUAAUUGAUGGGGUUAUCCGUAAGGAGAAGCUCUUGAUCGAAGCCCCGGUAAACGGCGGCCGUAACUAUAACGGUCCUAAGGUAGCGAAAUUCCUUGUCGGGUAAGUUCCGACCUGCACGAAUGGCGUAAUGAUGGCCAGGCUGUCUCCACCCGAGACUCAGUGAAAUUGAACUCGCUGUGAAGAUGCAGUGUACCCGCGGCAAGACGGAAAGACCCCGUGAACCUUUACUAUAGCUUGACACUGAACACUGGUCCUUGAUGUGUAGGAUAGGUGGGAGGCUUUGAAGUGUGGACGCCAGUCUGCAUGGAGCCAUCCUUGAAAUACCACCCUUUAAUGGCUGGUGUUCUAACGUGGGCCCGUGAUCCGGGUUGCGGACAGUGUCUGGUGGGUAGUUUGACUGGGGCGGUCUCCUCCUAAAGAGUAACGGAGGAGCACGAAGGUCAGCUAAUCCUGGUCGGACAUCAGGAGGUUAGUGCAAUGGCAUAAGCUGGCUUGACUGCGAGCGUGACGGCGCGAGCAGGUGCGAAAGCAGGUCAUAGUGAUCCGGUGGUUCUGAAUGGAAGGGCCAUCGCUCAACGGAUAAAAGGUACUCCGGGGAUAACAGGCUGAUACCGCCCAAGAGUUCAUAUCGACGGCGGUGUUUGGCACCUCGAUGUCGGCUCAUCACAUCCUGGGGCUGAAGUAGGUCCCAAGGGUAUGGCUGUUCGCCAUUUAAAGUGGUACGCGAGCUGGGUUUAGAACGUCGUGAGACAGUUCGGUCCCUAUCUGCCGUGGGCGCUGGAGAAUUGAGGGGGGCUGCUCCUAGUACGAGAGGACCGGAGUGGACGCAUCACUGGUGUUCGGGUUGUCAUGCCAAUGGCAUUGCCCGGUAGCUAAAUGCGGAAGAGAUAAGUGCUGAAAGCAUCUAAGCACGAAACUUGCCCCGAGAUGAGUUCUCCCUGACCCUUUAAGGGUCCUGAAGGAACGUUGAAGACGACGACGUUGAUAGGCCGGGUGUGUAAGCGCAGCGAUGCGUUGAGCUAACCGGUACUAAUGAACCGUGAGGCUUAACCUU
Molecule: ribosomal RNA, 2907 nt
Filed under: Klebsiella oxytoca
Lineage: Bacteria; Pseudomonadati; Pseudomonadota; Gammaproteobacteria; Enterobacterales; Enterobacteriaceae
Description: 23S ribosomal RNA
Rfam family: Bacterial large subunit ribosomal RNA
Source: RNAcentral